RNAcentral lists this ribosomal RNA (430 nucleotides) under Pseudomonadota bacterium. Its description in RNAcentral is "Proteobacteria bacterium partial 16S ribosomal RNA". It matches the Rfam family "Bacterial small subunit ribosomal RNA", at positions 355 to 776 of the family's 1533-position model. The record is from RNAcentral. Lineage: Bacteria; Pseudomonadati; Pseudomonadota.
UGGGGAAUAUUGGACAAUGGGGGGAACCCUGAUCCAGCCAUGCCGCGUGUGUGAAGAAGGCCUUAUGGUUGUAAAGCACUUUAAGCGAGGAGGAGGGUACUGGUAUUAAUACUACCAGGUACUGGACGUUACUCGCAGAAUAAGCACCGGCUAACCCUGUGCCAGCAGCCGCGGUAAUACAGAGGGUGCGAGCGUUAAUCGGAUUUACUGGGCGUAAAGCGUGCGUAGGCGGCUAAUUGAGUCGGAUGUGAAAUCCCCGAGCUUAACUUGGGCAUUGCAUUCGAUACUGGUUAGCUAGAGUGUGGGAGAGGAUGGUAGAAUUCCAGGUGUAGCGGUGAAAUGCGUAGAGAUCUGGAGGAAUACCGAUGGCGAAGGCAGCCAUCUGGCCUAACACUGACGCUGAGGUACGAAAGCAUGGGGAGCAAACAGG